GACGUAGGGCGCGAGCGUUGUCCGGAUUUAUUGGGCGUAAAGAGCGUGUAGGCGGCCAUACAGGUCCGUUGUGAAAACUCGAGGCUUAACCUCGAGACGUCGAUGGAAACCGUAUGGCUAGAGUCCGGAAGAGGAGAGUGGAAUUCCUGGUGUAGCGGUGAAAUGCGCAGAUAUCAGGAAGAACACCGAUGGCGAAAGCAGCUCUCUGGGACGGUACUGACGCUGAGGCGCGAAAGCGUGGGGAGCGAACAGG
RNAcentral lists this ribosomal RNA (253 nucleotides) under uncultured bacterium. RNAcentral's name for it is "partial 16S ribosomal RNA". It matches the Rfam family "Bacterial small subunit ribosomal RNA", at positions 524 to 776 of the family's 1533-position model. The record is from RNAcentral.